UUUAUUUUUUUACCCCCGUUUUCUUGAGAUCAAGAAUUAAUUUUGUGGUUGACUAUAAACAUUGGGCUGAUCUCUGUAUGUGGGGCCGUGUCCGAGAAAAAACAUCUUUUGAUCUCGAGAAAAUGGGGGUAAAAAAAUAAAU
Xyrichtys novacula (pearly razorfish) is the source of this 142-nucleotide non-coding RNA. NCBI's taxonomy places the organism in Eukaryota, Metazoa, Chordata, Actinopteri, Labriformes, Labridae. The record is from the annotation of a GenBank genome assembly.